Molecule: ribosomal RNA, 433 nt
Filed under: uncultured bacterium
Lineage: Bacteria
Description: partial 16S ribosomal RNA
Rfam family: Bacterial small subunit ribosomal RNA
Source: RNAcentral
AACGAACGCUGGCGGCAUGCCUAACACAUGCAAGUCGAACGAGACCUUCGGGUCUAGUGGCGCACGGGUGCGUAACGCGUGGGAACCUGCCCUUAGGUUCGGAAUAACUCCCCGAAAGGGGUGCUAAUACCGGAUAAUUUCUUCGGACCAAAGAUUUAUCGCCUUUGGAUGGGCCCGCGUUGGAUUAGCUAGUUGGUAGGGUAAAAGCCUACCAAGGCGACGAUCUAUAGCUGGUCUGAGAGGAUGAUCAGCCACACUGGGACUGAGACACGGCCCAGACUCCUACGGGAGGCAGCAGUGGGGAAUAUUGGACAAUGGGCGAAAGCCUGAUCCAGCAAUGCCGCGUGAGUGAUGAAGGCCUUAGGGUUGUAAAGCUCUUUUACCCGGGAUGAUAAUGACAGUACCGGGAGAAUAAGCUCCGGCUAACUCCGUG